UAAUGAGCCAAGAGCACAUCUUUUAGAGUUAAGAGCGUGGACCACUUCCACACUCGAAGUGUGAGGGGACAUACUAUGAGCUAGAGAGAGGCAAAUAAAUAGAAGUUUACAUGCCACACAGUCAUUUAGGCUUGUAACACACACAUAGAGCAGCAAACUCUCAGGCUCCUCUGCAGAAACGCUGCAGCCUGUCUGCCGGCAUGAAGCAGAAUUUCCUAAUCCCAUUAGCUGGGCCCUGGUACCUAUCGGUGUGUUAUUAACUAACCUUAAUUUAAGAAGCUGUAAAUUUUGAGAAGAUUAUACACCUAACACUCCUGAGACUGACUCGAGUGCAUUACACUGGCCUCUGACAAGAAUGUGUCCAUUCUGAGCAUUUGUAUUUGGCUCUAUUCUGAUAAAAACUCAAAAUGUAGCUCCUUAUAAAAUGAACCUGAUAAGUGAGACUCUAGAUCAGCGUGGUCCCAUAGGAAUAGAAUGCAGGUCGCCGAACUACGUGUGUAAUAUUACCUUUUCCAACGACUAUUAAACUAAAUAAAAAUAAACAGAUGAAGUCAGUUUUAAAGACAUAUUUAUCUAACCUAUGAUAUUAUCGUAUCAAUAGGUAACCAGUAUACAUUUAUUAAUGGAGUAUUUUACAUUUUUCCAUAGUGCCGUCUGGUAUUUUGCAACAAUAGCACAUCUCAGCUCAAACCAGCCCCCCCUCAAGUGCUCAGUAGCUCACGUGGCCAGUGCAGGGGUAGACGGGCCAGGUAAUGAGAAGCCUCUUAGGAAAGUCUUCCCAAGAUUCUGCUUGGCCAAGAGAAGCUCACGCGGAGGUGGAGGCCAAGGUGUGUGCGGCAGCCGUCUGGACAUCUGUGCGAUCGACGCCGACGUUGGAAGAGUCAUAGAGCGUGUUCUUCUUCGGAUGAGCCACUUCCAGAGAGUCAUCCUAAGAGACCAUCACACCACACACAUAUCUCACCUAUGAACGCAGUCGGAGCCCCCGAAGCGCUAUGGGGCCGUCCUGUCCUUGACCUAUGGGUGCUGGGGUUGUGUGCCGCGUGCCCUCCGUCGCUGGCCCACGUGGAGGAGGUGGGCGGAGGCAGUUUCAAUUGUGAGUUUAUUUACACGUGGGGCUCACCUGUGUUUCUGUGUUUUCAAAGCUUUUGCUUAAAACUCUUUUUUUUUUUUUUAACUUUUAGAAGGGAAAAUUGAAAACCUUCCAAAAUUAAAAUGAAGAAAUAGAAUGUGCCGGGUGGAUAUCUCUCCAGUUUGAAGGCUAAUUGCAAAAUAGACGUUUGGACUUUGAGCUCCUAGUUAUCUGCUCGCAUCCCAUCUUAUAAAGAUAAAAACCGGUCUGUGAAAUCUUUGUAAAAAUAUAUGAAACAAAUGGUGGAACAUGUGGAGGAAAUAAUUUAAAAAAUGAAAAUUUCCCUGCAAUCCAACGAAUCAGCUAUUUUUAGAAACGCCUAAUGCUCCGUGUCACUACGGAGCCAAUCAAAAUCAGGUUUUUAGUUUUCGAAACAAUAAAACGUUGCACGCUGUUUACAAGAAAGGAAUGUGAAGUUGAUAAAUCUGACUUCGGUUCUGUGACUGACUCACUAUGAAAUAAGGAAGUGCGCGUAAAUUAUUAUUUUUUUUUCGAAUUAUCUUUAGGAGAGACACUUACCCUGUGAACAACCUACUGAAGACCUUUAUGAGCGUGAAAACGUAGGGAGGGACCGGCCUGUUAGCCUUUUCAACUUUAUUCUAAUUCCUUCAUCAAUUCUUGUUUUUGCUUAUCUUGAUCCAGAAAAGAAGUGACUGGGCUCUGAUUUCCAGAGACGAUUCACCGGUGGACAGCUCAGCACCAUCCCCUGCCAGUGGGCUGGGUGUCCACCCUGCAGGGAGGGAGGGGGCCCUGGCCGAGCUCCUUGAACGGCACGGGGCGGUGGGGGGGGUGGCACAGCGGGACGGGGCCAAGGUCUCUCCCUCCAGGGAUAGGAAGGAGGCUGACACUUUUGUAUUUAGCAGAAGAUAACUUCUGCUAUGUUUUAAAUCUCAUAUGUUAGUGUUUUUGAUUUUCUUUUAAUCUGCAUGUCUUAUAACUUCCCAAGGCAUUUUAAGGAGCCAACACUAAGAGUUAUUUUUGGGGAAAAAAAAAAAUCCAAUAUUUUACAUUUUCUCGCCAUGACAUCAGAUUAGGGCUUUGUCAUGACAACGCAAAUUCCAGAGUUUGAGAUUCCUUCCUCUCCUGGAGGUGAGAGAGUGGCAACAGAUGUGGAGUCUACGUGGAGUCUAGUCUAGAGUCUCCUUCCCUCUCCCUAAAGCCUUCUUGAUGAAGCCCAAACGAGAUCCACACAUACUCUUCCGUUUACAAACAUCUGCUUAUAAAUACUUAACUCCUAUAGAUGUUCAUAAAUCCAUAAUUUAGGAAAAAUAUAGGAAAGAGAAACAUUUCUGAAAAAGAUAGUGAACUCUCUUCUACCGUCUGGAUUCUCUAAGAUAUAUAAUGUAUAAUUUCAUCAAUAUGAUACAAAUUAUAUGUGACAUACUA
This 2515-nucleotide long non-coding RNA is filed under the name Canis lupus familiaris (dog). Its description in RNAcentral is "lncRNA (ENSCAFG00030016011.1)". Lineage: Eukaryota; Metazoa; Chordata; Mammalia; Carnivora; Canidae. The record is from RNAcentral.